GAUGAACGCUGGCGGCGUGCCUAAUACAUGCAAGUCGAGCGAACAGACGAGGAGCUUGCUCCUCUGACGUUAGCGGCGGACGGGUGAGUAACACGUGUAUAACCUACCUAUAAGACUGGGAUAACUUCGGGAAACCGGAGCUAAUACCGGAUAAUAUAUUGAACCGCAGGGUUCAAUGGUGAAAGACGGUUUUGCUGUCACUUAUAGAUGGAUCCGCGCCGCAUUAGCUAGUUGGUAAGGUAACGGCUUACCAAGGCGACGAUGCGUAGCCGACCUGAGAGGGUGAUCGGCCACACUGGAACUGAGACACGGUCCAGACUACUACGGGAGGCAGCAGUAGGGAAUCUUCCGCAAUGGGCGAAAGCCUGACGGAGCAACGCCGCGUGAGUGAUGAAGGUCUUCGGAUCGUAAAACUCUGUUAUUAGGGAAGAACAAAUGUGUAAGUAACUAUGCACGUCUUGACGGUACCUAAUCAGAAAGCCACGGCUAACUACGUG
RNAcentral lists this ribosomal RNA (497 nucleotides) under uncultured bacterium. RNAcentral describes it as "partial 16S ribosomal RNA". It matches the Rfam family "Bacterial small subunit ribosomal RNA", at positions 28 to 507 of the family's 1533-position model. The record is from RNAcentral.